GGGAAGGUAGCUCAGUGGUAGAGCGCUUGCCUUGCAUGCCUGGGGCUCUGGGUUCGAUUCCCCAGCACCA
This is a non-coding RNA of Dipodomys ordii (Ord's kangaroo rat), 70 nucleotides long. The record is from Rfam. Lineage: Eukaryota; Metazoa; Chordata; Mammalia; Rodentia; Heteromyidae.